AUAGCCUACGGGAGGCAGCAGUAGGGAAUUUUCGUCAAUGGGCGCAAGCCUGAACGAGCAAUGCCGCGUGAACGAGGAAGGUCUUCGGAUCGUAAAGUUCUGUUGAAGGGGAAAAAGAGCGGAGAGAGGAAAUGAACUCCGAUUGAUAUUACCCUUCGAGGAAGUCGCGGCUAACUACGUGCCAGCAGCCGCGGUAAUACGUAGGUGGCGAGCGUUAUCCGGAAUGAUUGGGCGUAAAGGGGGCGUAGGCGGCCUGCUACGUCUGGAGUGAAAGGUACCGGCUCAACCGGUACAGGCUCUGGAAA
Molecule: ribosomal RNA, 305 nt
Filed under: uncultured bacterium
Lineage: Bacteria
Description: bacterial SSU rRNA
Rfam family: Bacterial small subunit ribosomal RNA
Source: RNAcentral